Meleagris gallopavo (turkey) is the source of this 300-nucleotide unclassified non-coding RNA. It matches the Rfam family "Metazoan signal recognition particle RNA". Rfam says of the family: The signal recognition particle (SRP) is a universally conserved ribonucleoprotein. It is involved in the co-translational targeting of proteins to membranes. The record is from Ensembl. NCBI's taxonomy places the organism in Eukaryota, Metazoa, Chordata, Aves, Galliformes, Phasianidae.
GCCGGGCACGGUGGCUUGUGCCUGUAAUCCAAGCGUCGGGGAGGCUGAGGCUGGCGGACAGGCUUGAGCCCGGGGGUUCUGGGCUGCAGAGAGCUGUGCCGAGCGGGCGUCCAGGCUAAGAUCAGCAUCGAUAUGGUGUUCUCCGGGGAGCCAGGGGGCACCAGGUCGCCUAAGGAGGGGUGAACCGGCCCAGGUCGGAAACGGAGCAGGUCAAAACUCCUGUGCUGAUCAGUAGCGGGAUCGCGCCUGUGAACAGUCCCUGCAGCACAGCCUGGGCAAGAGAGUGGGACCCAGCUUCCU